RNAcentral lists this ribosomal RNA (505 nucleotides) under uncultured bacterium. RNAcentral's name for it is "partial 16S ribosomal RNA". It matches the Rfam family "Bacterial small subunit ribosomal RNA", at positions 28 to 507 of the family's 1533-position model. The record is from RNAcentral.
GACGAACGCUGGCGGCGUGCCUAAUACAUGCAAGUAGAACGCACAGUUUAUACCGUAGCUUGCUACACCAUAGACUGUGAGUUGCGAACGGGUGAUUAACGCGUAGGUAACCUGCCUGGUAGCGUGGGAUAACUAUUGGAAACGAUAGCUAAUACCGCAUAAUAUUAAUUAUUCCAUGAUAAUUAAUUGAAAGCUCCAAUUGCACAACUACCAUAUGGACCUGCGUUGUAUUAGCUAGUAGGCGAGGUAACGGCUCACCUAUGCGACGAUACAUAGCCGAGCUGAGAGGGUGAUCGGGCACAAUGGGACUGAGAAACGGCCCCGACUUCUACGGGAGGCAGCAGUAGGGAAACUUCGGCAAUGGACGAAAGUCUGACCGAGCAACGACGCGUUAGUGAAGAAGGUUUUCGGGUCGUAAAGCUCUGUUGUAAGGGAAGAACGAGUGUGAGAGUAGAAAGUUCACACUGUGACGGUAUCUUAACAGAAAGCGACGGCUAACUACGUG